AUGAGAUCGUGCCCAAGAAGCCAGCAGAGGAAGGAAAUGAUUCGAAGGGAAUGUCAGAAGCAUCUGGCCCACAAAAUGAAGGGAAACAGCUGUGCCCCCCAGGAAAACCAAGUACCUCUGAGAAGAUUAACAAGACACCUGGAAAUAUGGAGGCCCAAGAAAAGGAAGAGAGAAGAGAAGAGCUCAUCGGUGGAGCAGUCAGAACACACACAACAUUCAUCGAUUAAGUUUGUUAUCGUCUAUGGGUGCAGUUCCUGGUACCCCCCAAACAAUUACACACAACAGGGUGAUUAUAGGCAAUAAUAACUUUAUCGUACAUUUAAACAAAACUAAAAGAGUGUAAAUGGAUUGUUUGUAACACAAGGAUAAAUGUUUGAGGGCAUGGAGACCCUAUUUUCCAUGAUGUGAUUAUUACGCAUGGCAUGCCAGUAUCAAAGCAUCUCACGUACCCCAUAAGAAUAUACACCUACUGUGUACCCACAAAAAUAAAAAACAAAAAUUAAAAGCCUAAAAAACAACAAAGACAAUGACUCAUUAAAAACGGUGACUUAUGCUGUAAUCCCAGCACUUUGGGCGGCUGAGGCAAGCAGAUCACUUGAGGUCAGGGUUCCGAGACCAGCCUGGCCUACGUGGCGAAACCCCGAUCUCUACUAAAUAUACAAAAAUUAGCUGGCUGUGGUGGCUUGAGCCUGUGAAUCCCAGUUAGUACAGGGGCUGAGGCAGGAGAAUCCCUUGAACCUGGGAGACAGAUGCUGCAGCGAGCUGAUA
RNAcentral lists this long non-coding RNA (768 nucleotides) under Papio anubis (olive baboon). RNAcentral's name for it is "lncRNA (ENSPANG00000037592.1)". The record is from RNAcentral. Lineage: Eukaryota; Metazoa; Chordata; Mammalia; Primates; Cercopithecidae.